UGAUGUGCCGGGGUCGACCCAAUCAUCCUUUGGGUCGACUCAAUCCACACUUUGCUGCAUCUCAAGGUUAGAUUCAUUCAAAUGAACAAUGAAAUGUAUCUAUAUCAAUUAAUACAAAAUAUACUGAGAGUAAUAAACUUAUAAAUGAAGUAUCGAUUUAACUUAUAACAUACUCUAGAUAAUUGCUUAUUAAUCAUCAAAAUAACACUAUCAUUCUCAAUCUCCCCCUUUUUGAUGAUUACAAAAUAAAGAGUAUGAGCCUAUUGAUACUUAUCUUAAAUUCAGUUUUUGAAAGGAUUUAACUUGCUGAAUUUCAGCUUUUCAUAUAUAAGAGUGAAGUCUCCCCCUAUAUCAUUUAAAUGUUGCCAAUUUGACUUUUUGUGUUACUCCCCCUUUCAUUUAUAAUUCAUUAAAGAUGAAACUCCAAAAAUUUGAGAUAAAAUAUGAGUUUCAGGUUAUGUAUCGAGGUGUGAAAGGUGCGUGCCAAAU
RNAcentral lists this long non-coding RNA (489 nucleotides) under Phoenix dactylifera (date palm). RNAcentral's name for it is "long non-coding RNA (PDAC_LNC012141)". The record is from RNAcentral. Lineage: Eukaryota; Viridiplantae; Streptophyta; Magnoliopsida; Arecales; Arecaceae.